Collinsella sp. CAG:289 is the source of this 194-nucleotide regulatory RNA element. It matches the Rfam family "FMN riboswitch aptamer (RFN element)". Rfam says of the family: The RFN element is a highly conserved domain that is found frequently in the 5'-untranslated regions of prokaryotic mRNAs that encode for flavin mononucleotide (FMN) biosynthesis and transport proteins. This element is a metabolite-dependent riboswitch that directly binds FMN in the absence of proteins. In Bacillus subtilis, the riboswitch most likely controls gene expression by causing premature transcription termination within the 5' untranslated region of the ribDEAHT operon and precluding access to the ribosome-binding site of ypaA mRNA. Lineage: Bacteria; Bacillati; Actinomycetota; Coriobacteriia; Coriobacteriales; Coriobacteriaceae. The record is from Rfam.
UCGCUGUUUCAGGGCGGGGUGAAAUUCCCCACUGGCGGUAAAUCGGCCGGCGCAAUCCCGCGUCGCGUCCCCGGCAACGGUUGCCAGGUGCACAUCCGAUAAGCCCGCGAGCCUGGCUGGCAUUGGGUUGUCUGCAGGCCGAUCCGGUGAGAAUCCGGUGCCAACGGUUAGAGUCCGGAUGGAAGAGGCAGGUG